This 497-nucleotide ribosomal RNA is filed under the name uncultured bacterium. RNAcentral describes it as "partial 16S ribosomal RNA". It matches the Rfam family "Bacterial small subunit ribosomal RNA", at positions 28 to 507 of the family's 1533-position model. The record is from RNAcentral.
GAUGAACGCUGGCGGCGUGCCUAAUACAUGCAAGUCGAGCGAACAGACGAGGAGCUUGCUCCUCUGACGUUAGCGGCGGACGGGUGAGUCACACGUGGAUAACCUACCUAUAAGACUGGGAUAACUUCGGGAAACCGGAGCUAAUACCGGAUAAUAUAUUGAACCGCAUGGUUCAAUAGUGAAAGACGGUUUUGCUGUCACUUAUAGAUGGAUCCGCGCCGCAUUAGCUAGUUGGUAAGGUAACGGCUUACCAAGGCAACGAUGCGUAGCCGACCUGAGAGAGUGAUCGGCCACACUGGAACGGCAACACGGUCCAGAGUCCUACGGGAGGCAGCAGUAGGGAAUCUUCCGAAAUGGGCGAAAGCCUGACGGAGCAACGCCGCGUGAGUGAUGAAGGUCUUCGGAUCGUAAAACUCUGUUAUUAGGGAAGAACAAAUGUGUAAGUAACUAUGCACGUCUUGACGGUACCUAAUCAGAAAGCCACGGCUAACUACGUG